GUGUGUGUUGUUACACACUAUCAGUUAGUAGAAGUAGAGCUGACAGGUGUUGGUGUGUGUGUUGUUACACACUAUCAGUUGGUAGAAGUAGAGCUGACAGGUGUUGGUGUGUGUGUUGUUACACACUAUCAGUUGGUAGAAGUAGAGUUGACAGGUGUUGGUGUGUGUGUUGUUACACACUAUCAGUUGGUAGAAGUAGAGCUGACAGGUGUUGGUGUGUGUGUUGUUACACACUAUCAGUUGGUAGAAGUAGAGCUGACAGGUGUUGGUGUGUGUGUUGUUACACACUAUCAGUUGGUAGAAGUAGAGCUGACAGGUGUUGGUGUGUGUGUGUUGUUACACACUAUCAGUUGGUAGAAGUAGAGCUGACAGGUGUUGGUGUGUGUGUUGUUACACACUAUCAGUUGGUAGAAGUAGAGCUGACAGGUGUUGGUGUGUGUGUUGUUACACACUAUCAGUUGGUAGAAGUAGAGCUGACAGGUGUUGGUGUGUGUGUGUUGUUACACACUAUCAGUUAGUAGAAGUAGAGCUGACAGGUGUUGGUGUGUGUGUGUUGUUACACACUAUCAGUUGGUAGAAGUAGAGCUGACAGGUGUUGGUGUGUGUGUUGUUACACACUAUCAGUUAGUAGAAGUAGAGCUGACAGGUGUUGGUGUGUGUGUGUUGUUACACACUAUCAGUUAGUAGAAGUAGAGCUGACAGGUGUUGGUGUGUGUGUGUUGUUACACACUAUCAGUUGGUAGAAGUAGAGCUGACAGGUGUUGGUGUGUGUGUUGUUACACACUAUCAGUUAGUAGAAGUAGAGCUGACAGGUGUUGGUGUGUGUGUGUUGUUACACACUAUCAGUUGGUAGAAGUAGAGCUGACAGGUGUUGGUGUGUGUGUUGUUACACACUAUCAGUUAGUAGAAGUAGAGCUGACAGGUGUUGGUGUGUGUGUUGUUACACACUAUCAGUUGGUAGAAGUAGAGCUGACAGGUGUUGGUGUGUGUGUUGUUACACACUAUCAGUUGGUAGAAGUAGAGCUGACAGGUGUUGGUGUGUGUGUGUUGUUACACACUAUCAGUUAGUAGAAGUAGAGCUGACAGGUGUUGGUGUGUGUGUUGUUACACACUAUCAGUUAGUAGAAGUAGAGCUGACAGGUGUUGGUGUGUGUGUGUUGUUACACACUAUCAGUUAGUAGAAGUAGAGCUGACAGGUGUUGGUGUGUGUGUGUUGUUACACACUAUCAGUUGGUAGAAGUAGAGCUGACAGGUGUUGGUGUGUGUGUUGUUACACACUAUCAGUUAGUAGAAGUAGAGCUGACAGGUGUUGGUGUGUGUGUUGUUACACACUAUCAGUUGGUAGAAGUAGAGCUGACAGGUGUUGGUGUGUGUGUUGUUACACACUAUCAGUUGGUAGAAGUAGAGCUGACAGGUGUUGGUGUGUGUGUUGUUACACACUAUCAGUUGGUAGAAGUAGAGCUGACAGGUGUUGGUGUGUGUGUUGUUACACACUAUCAGUUGGUAGAAGUAGAGCUGACAGGUGUUGGUGUGUGUGUGUUGUUACACACUAUCAGUUAGUAGAAGUAGAGCUGACAGGUGUUGGUGUGUGUGUUGUUACACACUAUCAGUUGGUAGAAGUAGAGCUGACAGGUGUUGGUGUGUGUGUUGUUACACACCAUCAGUUAGUAGAAGUAGAGCUGACAGGUGUUGGUGU
Long non-coding RNA from Oncorhynchus keta (chum salmon), 1696 nucleotides. RefSeq lists it as uncharacterized. Lineage: Eukaryota; Metazoa; Chordata; Actinopteri; Salmoniformes; Salmonidae. The record is from RefSeq and is a predicted model, not a curated record. The transcript has 9 exons.